Molecule: long non-coding RNA, 2066 nt
Organism: Struthio camelus australis
Lineage: Eukaryota; Metazoa; Chordata; Aves; Struthioniformes; Struthionidae
Source: Ensembl
CGAGGGCAGGGUUUUUCCCCCGGUUUCAGCACCCAGGCGCGGCCCCCUCCGCUCCCCGCGCGGGGCUGGGGUGAGCCCGGCGCCCAGCGGGGCUCAGAUUGCAGCAAGGGCAGUCGCGGUUAGAGACCUUCGCGGCGAGGGCGGUCGAGCACCGGGAAAGGGACCGAGAGCCAGGGGAAGCUCCCUCCUUGGAGGGCUUAAAAACCGGCCUGAGCAACUGCCCUCUCGGAGCAGGGGGACACACAGGGGCUGCACAGGGACCUCCCGGUUUCCCUCCCCACCUAAACCAGCACGCGACUCGGACCCUGGGAGCGGGAGACUUGCUUCCUCCAGCUACAUGACAUUAAGAAGCAAAAUCACUAAGGACAUUUCCAAAAAAAAAAAAAAAAUCAUAGCUUUGGAAAAGCUUGGCCCAAAAUAGCUAGGACGAGUCGCCCAGACCAAUUUCUCCUCUCUUGUCCCUUUCUCCUGCAAGCAGCAGCAAGCACAGGGCCCUGCCGGCUUUACGAAGCAGCAAAAGACGCAUGUACCUAGAAGCACUUAAAAAAGCUGAAUAGAUGGACGCUGCAAUUACUGCCAUGUAUUAAUUGUACUGCACUCAGAGUCACUGUCCCCCGCGCGAGACGGCAGCAGGAGGCAGUAGCAGGCCAGGAGGUGUCCGGAGAGGAAGCCCAGGCAGGCGCUCCCGGCGGCGCAUCCGAGGGGCCAGGAAACCUGCGGCCAGGCUGGAAGGGGCAUCUCAUCCCGGCUUCCCCCGGGAGAAACACACUGCACGCGACGCCACGGCCGCAAAGGAAGCGGAUGCCAGCUACGCUGGAGUCGCAGCUCCUCCGGGGAGAUGAAUUCCUGGCGCUCCCACCGGUUGGCAUUUCCUGCAAGUAACUCAGAGAAUUUGUCACCGCUUAAAAAGCCCUGCUGGCACAAGCAGACGGAGGAGCCUCCGUGCCAGCCGGGUGCCGAGCUCAGCUUGCGGCAGCGCGCAGGUGAGCGCCCUGGGGAGGGAAGCCAAGGGGCAGCGAGCCAGGAUGCCCAAGGCCACCUCGCCGGCGCCCCUGCCCCGUCCUGGAGCAUCACUCGCGGCUUUCCGGGGGCACUGAGCAGUCAGCUCCUCCUUUGAUGCCCAGGAGCAAACAGCUUGGAAAUUUAUGCACAGCAUUAAGCAGGAUGCUUUGGUCUCCAACUAGGUUAAAUUGCUUUCUCUGUUUAAUUUGCCUGCUAGCUUGGGUGGACGCGAGGCACAGCUGGGGAACGGAGAGCUCCAUCCAGUAAACAGAGGAGGAAAUCCUCAUGGGUUGAUCUGCUCUAAUUAGACGAUUUGCCCCGACUCCGGCACAGGACCCGAGGAGCCGCGCGUGGCUGCACGGGGUGCCAGAUCGCGGCCGGAGAGGGGAGCAUCCCUCGGACACCCGCUCGCACGGGCAAACAAAACCCUGCCUUUCACGAGAAGGGGAACAAGCGGCUGCUAACAGCAAACACGGCUUGUGGCUUGCUUCGCUAACUCCAGGUUUCUGCUCGACAUUGCCUGCAAAAACUCCUUCCAAAGUUCCUAUCCUUCUAAAAAAAAAAAAAAGAAAAAAAAAAAAAUAGAGAAAUCUCAAGAGUGUUGUUUCCAAGCCAGAGCGCUUUGGGCACCGUCGGGCCCGUCCUUGCCACCCCUCCUCCGGUGGCCGGCGCUCGCCCCUCUCCUCCGCACCCGGCGCGGGCGGCAUCCUAUGGCUCUGCGGUGCCGUCGACGGUGNNNNNNNNNNNNNNNNNNNNNNNNNNNNNNNNNNNNNNNNNNNNNNNNNNNNNNNNNNNNNNNNNNNNNNNNNNNNNNNNNNNNNNCCACCCCGCUUUCUUUAUCGGGGACAGGGAGGCUCUCUGGGAAAGCGUUAGUGGCUGCAUUCAAUUAUUGCUUUAUGCAACAUCCAAAAAAGUCUUUUCAGCACUUUCUCGUAUCAAGGAAGUAAUUGAGUCAAAAUGAAGAAGAAAUUAUCUAUGAAGUUAAUUAUCUAGCAGACAUGUUUUACACUCAGUCGUUUUUCACUGCUAGGCAGUAACUGGAAGCACAGGCAUUUCUCUCUUCU